AUCACCUCCUAAAGGGCCCAGCUCUUAAUAUUAUCACAUUGAUGAUUAAGUUUCAACAUAUGAAUUUUGGCGAGACACAUUCACACCAUAGCAGCAACUGUAAACACCAUCCAUCACUGUAUUAAUUAUCAAUAUGGAUUCAACCUACUAUCCUGAAAAAAUAACAUGAAUUUACCUCUAUCCUAUGUGUGGCUUGGCUUUGUCAAAAUAGAUUCCUCCUAGUUUCUCAAAAUUUUUUGAAAUCUGGUCAUAUCUGUUUGUGGCUAGAUUUUGAAAAACCCUUCAUGUAAAGUGUUCAAGGCAUCAGACUGAUUCUGGUGUUAUCGAAUGUUCAAAACUGUAGAGGUGAGUGCUAAACAGACCUGCGCAGCUACUCUAGGGUAAAAUUAAUUCUCAAACGCCCUCACUGACACUUUGCAGUGUCUUCUCCAGCAGACAUUUCUGACUGCUGCCGGCCUAAGCUCUGCUAAUGGAGGUUUAUAAAGGCCUUCACAAUUCCUAUGGUAACCCAGGAGAAAGGCUGUUGCCAUGGGGACUAGUGAAGCCUAUAUAAACCUUCCAUCUCCAUCAGACAGAUGAGAACGAUGUGAGAAUGAAUCCUUUGCUAAUUCACCUCCAGAAAUGGCUAAUAAUUAUCUCUGUUUUUGGAAAAAGAUUCUUCAUUUCUUUCAGGUUGUCCUGGGUCCUGAGAUUACAUCUUUCUCAAGUAAUGUGUAAAACAGACACCCUGACUCUUUCCGUAUCCUAAGCUGACACCCUUGAAGAGUUGAUGAUGGUGUAAAGUUUGAAGAUGGAGCAAAUAUAUCUGUGGACUCUUUUGCACAUUACUUUCCCCCCCUCUAUUCAGGGUAGAAAUAGGGCUGGUGGACGGAAGCUACCAAAAAAUAUUUUAAUCAAUACUAAUAAAAACUUUCUAAAAAUGAGGGUAACAAAAAAGAUGGGAGCUGCUUCCUGGAGUGGCACUGAGUGGUUCCUGACAUAUUGUAGAUUUCUCAAUAAAUUACUAACUCUUAUAUAUCUUACAGUUGUUUCAAAAACUUUCAGAGUAAGAAAGUAUCAAGGUUAUGCUGGCCUCACCAAAGUGAUUUAGAAAACAUUAUAUCUUUUUCUAUACUCAGGAAGAGAGUACAUAACAUUACCAUUAUUUCUUUCUUAAAUGUUUAAGAUAAUUCACCUGCGAAGCCAUCAGGGCCUAGAGUUUUUUCUGUGGGAUGGAUUUUGAUAGCAGAUUCAGCUUGUUUUAUGUAAAUAAGAAUGUCCACAUUUCAGAUCUCUUUUGGUGUCUCUUUCAGAAAGUUGUGCUCUAGACAUUUGUUUCAUCUUAGUUUCAGAUUUAUUUUCACAAUAUUUUUCAUAAUAUCUUCUUUUUUUUCCCUAAUUUCUGUAGAUUCUGUAGUGAUGCCUUCUUUUUCAUUCCUGAUACUUCAAAUUUGUCCAUCUCUCUUUUUUCUUCAUGAGUCUUGCAGGAGUUUAUUAAUUUUAUCCUUUUUAUUUUUCAAGGAACCAACAUUUGGUUUGACUGACUCUGUUGUAGAUUUGUUUUCUAUUUCAUUAAUUUUUCUUCUUUAUUAUACUCUUUCUUCUACCUUUUUGGACUUUGUUUUGCUUUUGUCCCUAAGUUCUUGCAGUAGAUACUUAGGUAAUUGAUUUUCAGCUCAUAUUAUUUUCUAAUAUAAGCUUUUAAACCUAUUUUUCUCUCAGCACAUUUUUAACUUCUCCCAUGCUUUCAUAAGCUGUAGAAUCACUACCAUUCAAUUUAAAAUAUGUUCUAAUUUCCAGUAUCAUCACUUCUUUGACACAGAGGUUAUUUAGAAUGAUAUCAUCUAAUUUCCAAACAUAAGGGAAUUUUAGAGUCAUCUUUUUAUAACUGGUAUAGCUUAAUUCCACUGUGGUCAGAAAACAGACUUUAAAAGAUUUCAGGCCUUUGAAAUUUGUUAAGGUUUGCUUUGUGGUUUAGUAUAUGUCAAUUUUAGUAACUGCUCCUUAUGCACUGAAAAGAACAUUUAUUCUUUCUUUGCAGUGUUUUAUAAACAUCAAUUAGAUUAGGUUUGUUUAUUGCAUUGCUUUGGUGUUCUUUGUUCUUACUGAUUUCCCUCCCUGCUUAUUCUACUCAUUAUUAUGAGAAGUAUGUUAAAGUUUUUCACACUGAUGUGCAUUCAACUAUUACUUUUAGUUCUAUAAAUUUUUACCUUAUGUAUUUUGAAACUAUGUUAUCAGAUGCAUACAAAUUUAGAGAUUGUUAUAUCUUCCUGGUGAAUAAAACCUUAUAUUAUUAUCAAA
Homo sapiens (human) is the source of this 2280-nucleotide long non-coding RNA. RefSeq lists it as uncharacterized. NCBI's taxonomy places the organism in Eukaryota, Metazoa, Chordata, Mammalia, Primates, Hominidae. The transcript is spliced from 2 exons. The record is from RefSeq and is a predicted model, not a curated record.